This 397-nucleotide ribosomal RNA is filed under the name uncultured bacterium. RNAcentral's name for it is "partial 16S ribosomal RNA". It matches the Rfam family "Bacterial small subunit ribosomal RNA", at positions 523 to 918 of the family's 1533-position model. The record is from RNAcentral.
AUACGUAGGGGGCGAGCGUUGUCCGGAAUGAUUGGGCGUAAAGGGCGUGUAGGCGGCCUGUUAAGUCUGAAGUGAAAGUCCUGUUUUCAAGAUGGGAAUUGCUUUGGAUACUGGCGGGCUUGAGUGCAGGAGAGGGUAUCGGAAUUCCCGGUGUAGCGGUGAAAUGCGUAGAGAUCGGGAGGAACACCAGUGGCGAAGGCGGGUAACUGGACUGCAACUGACGCUGAGGCGCGAAAGUGUGGGGAGCAAACAGGAUUAGAUACCCUGGUAGUCCACACUGUAAACGAUGAAUGCUAGGUGUAGGGGGUAUCGACCCCUUUUGUGCCGGAGUCAACACAAUAAGCAUUCCGCCUGGGGAGUACGGCCGCAAGGUUGAAACUCAAAGGAAUUGACGGGG